AUUGAACGCUGGCGGCAUGCCUUACACAUGCAAGUCGAACGGCAGCACGGGAGCAAUCCUGGUGGCGAGUGGCGAACGGGUGAGUAAUGUAUCGGAACGUGCCCAGUCGUGGGGGAUAACGUAGCGAAAGCUACGCUAAUACCGCAUACGAUCUAUGGAUGAAAGCGGGGGAUCGCAAGACCUCGCGCGAUUGGAGCGGCCGAUAUCAGAUUAGGUAGUUGGUGGGGUAAAGGCUCACCAAGCCGACGAUCUGUAGCUGGUCUGAGAGGACGACUAGCCACACUGGGACUGAGACACGGCCCAGACUCCUACGGGAGGCAGCAGUGGGGAAUUUUGGACAAUGGGCGCAAGCCUGAUCCAGCAAUGCCGCGUGCAGGAUGAAGGCCUUCGGGUUGCAAACUGCUUUUGUACGGAACGAAACGGCGAGCUCUAAUACAGUUUGCUAAUGACGGUACCGUAAGAAUAAGCACCGGCUAACUACGUGCCAGCAGCCGCCGUAA
Molecule: ribosomal RNA, 500 nt
Filed under: uncultured bacterium
Lineage: Bacteria
Description: partial 16S ribosomal RNA
Rfam family: Bacterial small subunit ribosomal RNA
Source: RNAcentral